CCGAAGCGGGGGAUAACAUUUGGAAACAAGUGCUAAUACCGCAUAAUUAGUUGGAACCGCAUGGUUCCAACUUGAAAGAUGGCUCUGCUAUCACUUUGGGAUGGACCCGCGCCGUAUUAGUUAGUUGGUGAGAUAAAAGCCCACCAAGACGAUGAUACGUAGCCGACCUGAGAGGGUAAUCGGCCACAUUGGGACUGAGACACGGCCCAGACUCCUACGGGAGGCAGCAGUAGGGAAUCUUCCACAAUGGACGAAAGUCUGAUGGAGCAACGCCGCGUGAGUGAUGAAGGUUUUCGGAUCGUAAAACUCUGUUGUUAAAGAAGAACAAGUGUUAGAGUAACUGUUAACACUUUGACGGUAUUUAACCAGAAAGCCACGGCUAACUACGUGCCAGCAGCCGCGGUAAUACGUAGGUGGCAAGCGUUGUCCGGAUUUAUUGGGCGUAAAGCGAGCGCAGGCGGUUUUGUAAGUCUGCUGUGAAAGCCCUCAGCUCAACUGAGGAAGUGCAGUGGAAACUACAAAACUUGAGUACAGAAGAGGAAAGUGGAACUCCCUGUGUAGCGGUGAAAUGCGUAGAUAUAUGGAAGAACACCAGUGGCGAAGGCGGCUUUCUGGUCUGUUACUGACGCUGAGGCUCGAAAGCAUGGGUAGCGAACAGGAUUAGAUACCCUGGUAGUCCAUGCCGUAAACGAUGAAUACUAGGUGUUGGAGGGUUUCCGCCCUUCAGUGCCGCAGCUAACGCAUUAAGUAUUCCGCCUGGGGAGUACGACCGCAAGGUUGAAACUCAAAGGAAUUGACGGGGGCCCGCACAAGUGGUGGAGCAUGUGGUUUAAUUCGAUGCUACGCGAAGAACCUUACCAGCUCUUGACAUCUUCUGCCAACCCAAGAGAUUGGGCGUUCCCUUCGGGGACAGAAUGACAGGUGGUGCAUGGUUGUCGUCAGCUCGUGUCGUGAGAUGUUGGGUUAAGUCCCGCAACGAGCGCAACCCUUAUUAUUAGUUGCCAGCAUUUAGUUGGGCACUCUAGUGAGACUGCCGGUGAUAAACCGGAGGAAGGUGGGGACGACGUCAAAUCAUCAUGCCCCUUAUGAGCUGGGCUACACACGUGCUACAAUGGAUGGUACAACGAGUCGCGAAACCGCGAGGUCAAGCUAAUCUCUUAAAGCCAUUCUCAGUUCGGAUUGCAGGCUGCAACUCGCCUGCAUGAAGUUGGAAUCACUAGUAAUCGUGGAUCAGCAUGCCACGGUGAAUACGUUCCCGGGCCUUGUACACACCGCCCGUCACACCAUGAGAGUUUGUA
This 1298-nucleotide ribosomal RNA is filed under the name Apilactobacillus kunkeei. Its description in RNAcentral is "bacterial SSU rRNA". It matches the Rfam family "Bacterial small subunit ribosomal RNA", at positions 131 to 1416 of the family's 1533-position model. The record is from RNAcentral. Lineage: Bacteria; Bacillati; Bacillota; Bacilli; Lactobacillales; Lactobacillaceae.